Molecule: ribosomal RNA, 433 nt
Filed under: uncultured bacterium
Lineage: Bacteria
Description: partial 16S ribosomal RNA
Rfam family: Bacterial small subunit ribosomal RNA
Source: RNAcentral
AACGAACGCUGGCGGCAUGCCUAACACAUGCAAGUCGAACGAGACCUUCGGGUCUAGUGGCGCACGGGUGCGUAACGCGUGGGAACCUGCCCUUAGGUUCGGAAUAACUCCCCGAAAGGGGUGCUAAUACCGGAUAAUGUCUUCGGACCAAAGAUUUAUCGCCUUUGGAUGGGCCCGCGUUGGAUUAGCUAGUUGGUAGGGUAAAAGCCUACCAAGGCGACGAUCCAUAGCUGGUCUGAGAGGAUGAUCAGCCACACUGGGACUGAGACACGGCCCAGACUCCUACGGGAGGCAGCAGUGGGGAAUAUUGGACAGUGGGCGAAAGCCUGAUCCAGCAAUGCCGCGUGAGUGAUGAAGGCCUUAGGGUUGUAAAGCUCUUUUAACCGGGAUGAUAAUGACAGUACCGGGAGAAUAAGCCCCGGCUAACUCCGUG